CCUACGGGAGGCAGCAGUGGGGAAUUUUGGACAAUGGGCGCAAGCCUGAUCCAGCAAUGCCGCGUGAGUGAAGAAGGCCUUCGGGUUGUAAAGCUCUUUUGUCAGGGAAGAAACGGUGGGAGCUAAUAUCUCCCGCUAAUGACGGUACCUGAAGAAUAAGCACCGGCUAACUACGUGCCAGCAGCCGCGGUAAUACGUAGGGUGCAAGCGUUAAUCGGAAUUACUGGGCGUAAAGCGUGCGCAGGCGGUUUUGUAAGUCUGUCGUGAAAGCCCCGGGCUCAACCUGGGAAUUGCGAUGGAGACUGCAAGGCUUGAAUCUGGCAGAGGGGGGUAGAAUUCCACGUGUAGCAGUGAAAUGCGUAGAGAUGUGGAGGAACACCGAUGGCGAAGGCAGCCCCCUGGGUCAAGAUUGACGCUCAUGCACGAAAGCGUGGGGAGCAAACAGGAUUAGAUACCCUGGUAGUCCACGCCCUAAACGAUGUCUACUAGUUGUCGGGUUUUAAUUAACUUGGUAACGCAGCUAACGCGUGAAGUAGACCGCCUGGGGAGUACGGUCGCAAGNUUAAAACNCAAAGAUGACGNGNGAGAGNGACGACGACGACGACGAGGAGGAGG
Molecule: ribosomal RNA, 615 nt
Filed under: uncultured bacterium
Lineage: Bacteria
Description: bacterial SSU rRNA
Rfam family: Bacterial small subunit ribosomal RNA
Source: RNAcentral